RNAcentral lists this long non-coding RNA (695 nucleotides) under Manacus vitellinus (golden-collared manakin). RNAcentral describes it as "lncRNA (ENSMVIG00005019126.1)". Lineage: Eukaryota; Metazoa; Chordata; Aves; Passeriformes; Pipridae. The record is from RNAcentral.
AUCAAGUAUCUUUCUCCCUCCUUUGCAGCCCACAGCCCUGGAAGCUGGUUUCCACCACGAGGGGCCACUGUGCCUUUCCCAUUAUUGCCUGAGCUCUGGCACUGCUCCACACCAUGCAGGAGAGGGUCGGCUAAAGAAGGAUGGGCAGAGUGAAAUUUCACCCAAAGCAGUUUUAUUCAGCCGUCCCCACAUUCUCCUAAAACCUCUCCCUGCCUCACUUCUGCUAAGCCCUGUUGGAGAACCAGAGCAGAGAUGACACAAUCCCAGUGGAGCACUUACCGAUGGUUGGCACCAAGAGAACAUCUGGUGUGGGCAGUGGCUGGAGCUCAGCAUCCUAGCAAGGUACUUUCUGGAAGGAAGGAACACCUGAGAUCUCUCAUCCCUGAGAAUAACUCCCUGUGCAUUAGCACCACCAAACUAAUGAGGAAUUCCAGGCCACAUGUGACCUCUGGCUCUGCAAGGAUCAGCCUCACUGGAGCUCCUCCGUGUGACAUGUGAAGCUCCUGUGUCGCAACAGCCCCGCUACCAGCUCCUGGGGCCUGAGCCGUGGCUGCGGUCGCUGCGGUGGAGCUGGAGCCGUGGCAGAGUCUGCAGGAGGACGGGUAGGUCACGUACCACAGCGAGCUGCAGUGGAGCCAGGUGCCACAUGGGAGAAGGUCAAUAAAGCAGAAAACGUAAGUGAUGGAUUGUUUCUG